AGUGAACGCUGGCGGUAGGCCUAACACAUGCAAGUCGAACGGCAGCACAGUAAGAGCUUGCUCUUACGGGUGGCGAGUGGCGGACGGGUGAGGAAUACAUCGGAAUCUACUUUUUCGUGGGGGAUAACGUAGGGAAACUUACGCUAAUACCGCAUACGACCUACGGGUGAAAGCAGGGGAUCUUCGGACCUUGCGCGAUUGAAUGAGCCGAUGUCGGAUUAGCUAGUUGGCGGGGUAAAGGCCCACCAAGGCGACGAUCCGUAGCUGGUCUGAGAGGAUGAUCAGCCACACUGGAACUGAGACACGGUCCACACUCCUACGGGAGGCAGCAGUGGGGAAUAUUGGACAAUGGGCGCAAGCCUGAUCCAGCCAUACCGCGUGGGUGAAGAAGGCCUUCGGGUUGUAAAGCCCUUUUGUUGGGAAAGAAAAGCAGCAGGUUAAUACCCCGCUGUUCUGACGGUACCCAAAGAAUAAGCACCGGCUAACUUCGUG
Molecule: ribosomal RNA, 492 nt
Filed under: uncultured bacterium
Lineage: Bacteria
Description: partial 16S ribosomal RNA
Rfam family: Bacterial small subunit ribosomal RNA
Source: RNAcentral